Erpetoichthys calabaricus (reedfish) is the source of this 129-nucleotide small nucleolar RNA. NCBI's taxonomy places the organism in Eukaryota, Metazoa, Chordata, Cladistia, Polypteriformes, Polypteridae. The record is from Ensembl.
UGGAGGUUGAGAAGGUGAAACAGUAAUAAUUGCUGUUUUUACCGGUUGUAACUUCCUAAAAUAACAGUGCUAAUGCAGAGAUUACUUCAUUUUUUCCAUUGAAGUAGUUGUACUGCUGGCGUUCAAGUC